Molecule: ribosomal RNA, 253 nt
Filed under: uncultured bacterium
Lineage: Bacteria
Description: partial 16S ribosomal RNA
Rfam family: Bacterial small subunit ribosomal RNA
Source: RNAcentral
UACGUAGGGUCCGAGCGUUGUCCGGAGUUACUGGGCGUAAAGGGCGCGCAGGCGGCGGUGCUGGCCCGGCGUGAAAGCCCCGGGCUCAACCUGGGAAUGGCAUUGGAAACUGGCUUGCUAGAGUGUGGCAGAGGGGGGUGGAAUUCCGCGUGUAGCAGUGAAAUGCGUAGAGAUGCGGAGGAACACCGAUGGCGAAGGCAGCCCCCUGGGCCGACACUGACGCUCAGGCACGAAAGCGUGGGGAGCAAACAGG